GGGGGUGUGGUCUAGUGGUUACGACAUCUGCUUCGCAAGCAGAGGGUCCCCAGUUCGAACCUGGGCUCCUCCA
This is a non-coding RNA of Truncatella angustata, 73 nucleotides long. The record is from the annotation of a RefSeq genome assembly. NCBI's taxonomy places the organism in Eukaryota, Fungi, Ascomycota, Sordariomycetes, Amphisphaeriales, Sporocadaceae.